AAAUAGAUAAGUAAACCACAUUCACGAUUCAUGAAAUCAUAACUGGAGGUAAUCAAGUCAUAUAAAACAUAUGAUCAUGGCUUUGAAUUCCCCUCUAACUAUAAAGAAAUUAGUUCCUCAUGUUCGCAAAUAAACAAAGAUAAAUAAAUUUAAACAUUGACAUAAAGAUAGAAAACACCUAGAAUCGCUCCAACAAUCCAAGCUCGUUGAAUGGCAUGCACGGCUCCAGAUUCCUUCCUUCUUCUCCUUGCAAACUCACGGCACAAUGAGGGGUUUUGGGUGAAUGAUGUAGUGAAAAUAUGGUAGAGGGUGGUGACUGAAAGGGUGCGGCAUAGGCUUGUAUUUAUAGGCUGAAAAAUCUCAUCUCCUAGGUAGCCAAGGACAAGGUUUUAAAAGGCCUAAACUGCAUAGGAUAAUAACAUACAAUCAUAUAAGGAAAACAAGUCAAAAACCCAAAAGGAAUGGGAGAUAGUGUGCGGCACAAAGAGUGUGAAAGGAUAAGGCUUCUAGAAACCAAAAUCCCAAAGGAAAUGGGUGAAAACUCACGGCAAAAGGAUAGUUUCUAGAAAGAAAUACAAGGCAGAUUUUUAGGCUUCUAGAAAGGCUCCUAGGCGCCAUUUUUUGUAGGAUAAGAUUAGGUCUUCUAGAAAUCCCAUUUUAAGCAUCCUAAUCUAGUUAGAAACCCUCCUAAGUGGCUGAGAUGUGGAUAGUUUAGGAUUAGGAUAAGAUAGGAUAGAAUAAGGUUUGUUGGGAUAAGAUAAGCUAAGAUAAGGUUAUGGAUGAGGUUUUGGAUAAGAUCCUUAUCUUGAGCUGAUUCUUUGGCUUUAACUCUUCUUCUUCAUAUAGGAAAACCUUGCUUGAGUAGGAAACUUCAUUCGUCUAGGAAUCCAUCUUCAUUUAGGACUCCUACAUUGAUUAAGAAUCCUACUUCAUUUAGGAAUCCUUCACUUAAGCCCUUUCCUACUUCAACUAGGAAACUUUGUAUCUUCAAUUUUUCAACUUCAAACACACAUUCCUAGCUUCAUCAAUCCUUCAAAUUCGUCCAUCCUUUGUGCUUCAUGUGCAUGAACUUCAUUCUAGCCCAAUUUUGCUCCAAAAUGCUCCAAAUUGCAUCAUUUUGCUCACUUUGUCUCUAAAACCUGAAAACACAUGAAAAUAGCUUAAAAGACUAACUUAACUAAGAAAACACAACAUAAAUGCAUAAGAACUAACUAACUAAGGCGCAUAAAUAUGCUCCUAUCACUUUUCAAUUAUUUUAUCAUGCAUCUGUAAACCAAAGGUCCGAUUAAUGCAAAAGAGAAAUAGAAUUGCCAGAAACACAACGACAUAGUCGGGUCUAAAUCUUUUAGACACAGUUAGGUUGAUUUAUGAAAAGUUUAGGACAAAGAUAAGUCUUCGUUCUUCAAAGAUCAGAAAAAGUGACAAUGUAGUAAGGGUGUCAGAGUUUCCCAGGAUGAAGCAAAAAAGAGGAAUACAUUGAGCAUUUACACACUAAGUUAGGCCAAGAGUGAAAACCAACCAGCAAAGAUUAUGGUAAUUCACUAAUUUAGACAUUAACCAGCUUUGAGAGUGAUACUCACCCAUUGUCGGUUUUCCUUGCGAGCAUAUUUCCUACCCAAAAUUUCCCAAACUGUUCUCAAACCAUUGCAUCGGCAUAUCUUUCCAACUUCUAAUAGUCUUUGGUGCUAGAACAUCUUCUAACUUCAUUCUAAAAAAAUAGAUUUAUAAGUAAA
This 1733-nucleotide long non-coding RNA is filed under the name Malus domestica (apple). Its description in RNAcentral is "long non-coding RNA (MDOM_LNC008737)". Lineage: Eukaryota; Viridiplantae; Streptophyta; Magnoliopsida; Rosales; Rosaceae. The record is from RNAcentral.